RNAcentral lists this transfer RNA (71 nucleotides) under Nanobdellota archaeon. RNAcentral's name for it is "tRNA-Gly". It matches the Rfam family "tRNA". Rfam says of the family: Transfer RNA (tRNA) molecules are approximately 80 nucleotides in length. Their secondary structure includes four short double-helical elements and three loops (D, anti-codon, and T loops). Further hydrogen bonds mediate the characteristic L-shaped molecular structure. tRNAs have two regions of fundamental functional importance: the anti-codon, which is responsible for specific mRNA codon recognition, and the 3' end, to which the tRNAs corresponding amino acid is attached (by aminoacyl-tRNA synthetases). tRNAs cope with the degeneracy of the genetic code in two manners: having more than one tRNA (with a specific anti-codon) for a particular amino acid; and 'wobble' base-pairing, i.e. permitting non-standard base-pairing at the 3rd anti-codon position. Lineage: Archaea; Nanobdellati; Nanobdellota. The record is from RNAcentral.
GCGCCAAUAGUUUAUCGGUAGAAUUUCGCCUUCCCAAGGCGGUGAGCCGGGUUCAAUUCCCGGUUGGCGCA